UGGCGAACGGGUGAGUAACACGUGGGUAAUCUGCCCUGCACUCUGGGAUAAGCCUGGAAACUGGGUCUAAUACUGGAUAUGACCUUUCUCCUUAUGGGGUUUGGUGGAAAGUUUUUCGGUGUAGGAUGAGCCCGCGGCCUAUCAGCUUGUUGGUGGGGUGAUGGCCUACCAAGGCGACGACGGGUAGCCGGCCUGGGAGGGUGAUCGGCCACAUUGGGACUGAGAUACGGCCCAG
Molecule: ribosomal RNA, 235 nt
Filed under: uncultured Actinomycetales bacterium
Lineage: Bacteria; Bacillati; Actinomycetota; Actinomycetes; Actinomycetales
Description: partial 16S ribosomal RNA
Rfam family: Bacterial small subunit ribosomal RNA
Source: RNAcentral